GAUGAACGCUGGCGGCGUGCCUAAUACAUGCAAGUCGAGCGAACGGACGAGAAGCUUGCUUUUCUGAUGUUAGCGGCGGACGGGUGAGUAACACGUGGAUAACCUACCUAUAAGACUGGGAUAACUUCGGGAAACCGGAGCUAAUACCGGAUAAUAUUUUGAACCGCAUGGUUCAAAAGUGAAAGACGGUCUUGCUGUCACUUAUAGAUGGAUCCGCGCUGCAUUAGCUAGUUGGUAAGGUAACGGCUUACCAAGGCAACGAUGCAUAGCCGACCUGAGAGGGUGAUCGGCCACACUGGAACUGAGACACGGUCCAGACUCCUACGGGAGGCAGCAGUAGGGAAUCGUGCGCAAUGGGCGAAAGCCUGACGGAGCAACGCCGCGUGAGUGAUGAAGGUCUUCGGAUCGUAAAACUCUGUUAUUAGGGAAGAACAUAUGUGUAAGUAACUGUGCACAUCUUGACGGUACCUAAUCAGAAAGCCACGGCUAACUACGUG
RNAcentral lists this ribosomal RNA (497 nucleotides) under uncultured bacterium. RNAcentral's name for it is "partial 16S ribosomal RNA". It matches the Rfam family "Bacterial small subunit ribosomal RNA", at positions 28 to 507 of the family's 1533-position model. The record is from RNAcentral.